GGAAAUUCAAGCAACACACAUAAAAGUUGCUGGUGAAUGCAGCAGGCCAGGCAGCAUCUCUAGGAAGAGGUGCAGUCGACGUUUCAGGCCGAGACCCUUCGUCAGGACUAACUGAAGGAAGAAGUCACAGGAUCGAUUUGCUUUCACAUGGGAAGGCAGACAGUACACUGUUACCAGAUUGCGUCAGGGGCAUGUGCAUAGCCCUACCUUGUGUCAUGGAUUGAUAGCACAAGACCUCAAGGCAUGAACUCUCUCACCUGAUAUACAGGUGAAAUAACAGCUCUGGAAUUAAUUUUGUCAAUGGCAUGGACCUUCCCCUGAGUAGAGGUCACGAUCUGGACGUGUGGGAAGAAUGUACAAUGGCCAUCUGUAGAAGAAGAUGUCCUCUGAUACAACACAUUUCUGUGAAAUGUAACCAUGAUUAAUUGUGAUCAGCUUUGCAUUAUUCAAAGUAUGGAACUGGGGACUGAAUAGAGGGCAUGAAUUAAUUAUAGUGGUGGUUGUUUAUAGUGAAGAUUAUUUUAGCUUGUUGCUUAUACAGAAUUCACAUUAUAAGCCCACUACUUAAGUAAUUAUAAUAAUUCUAGUUAACUUUUAUUUACUAUAAUUUUUGUAUAAUAUACCAAUGAGGAAUUAAGAGGAGUGUAAGUAAAGAGUUAAUUGUGAUUUGGCCCUUGGUAUAUGCUAAAAUAAAAUGGAAGUUUAUAAGACAAAAUGGUGUUAGCUUAGAGUGGGAUUGUUUUGAGAAAGUACAAGAGAACCAGUCCACACACAGAAAUGUUUUGAGAAUGUCAAGUAAGUACAAGUCUGCAGCCAUAAUAAUGGAAAAUGGUAAAAAUCAUGUUUGUCUGGGCUGGUGGUUGUAGGGGAUAAGGGGUACAGCCGGUACCACCAAGGGAUGGAAAAGUACUAGUGGAAGGGGUUUGAGUAUAAAAAGGGUAACUCCUUUGAGAGUGACAGUGAAUGAGAGAGAGGGAGAAGGAAGAGUUUUGCCUUGGGCUAGGUCAUGACUGGUGCUAGUGCCAAAAUUUGGAGAUGAUGGGGGCACGUAUGUCCAGAGAGUUAGAGUAUGUCAGUUCAGAGUGAGAGAGCAUGAAAGAGAGAAAAAAAGGCUGCAUGAACUUUGUCAGCAUUCUGCAGAUGAGCUUGUUUAGUGGUUAGGUAUUAGUUUGAUUUCUGCACUGCUACUACUGUAGACAUUUGUUUUUCCUUUCUAUGUUGCAUUUGUGCUGGUUCUAAUAAAGUGCU
Mobula hypostoma (lesser devil ray) is the source of this 1248-nucleotide long non-coding RNA. RefSeq lists it as uncharacterized. NCBI's taxonomy places the organism in Eukaryota, Metazoa, Chordata, Chondrichthyes, Myliobatiformes, Myliobatidae. The record is from RefSeq and is a predicted model, not a curated record. The transcript is spliced from 3 exons.